GAUGAACCACUUCGGUGGGGAUUAGUGGCGAACGGGUGAGUAACACGUGGGCAAUCUGCCCUGCACUCUGGGACAAGCCCUGGAAACGGGGUCUAAUACCGGAUAUGAGCCGGGACCGCAUGGUUCUGGCUGUAAAGCUCCGGCGGUGCAGGAUGAGCCCGCGGCCUAUCAGCUUGUUGGUGAGGUAACGGCUCACCAAGGCGACGACGGGUAGCCGGCCUGAGAGGGCGACCGGCCACACUGGGACUGAGACACGGCCCAGACUCCUACGGGAGGCAGCAGUGGGGAAUAUUGCACAAUGGGCGCAAGCCUGAUGCAGCGACGCCGCGUGAGGGAUGACGGCCUUCGGGUUGUAAACCUCUUUCAGCAGGGAAGAAGCGCAAGUGACGGUACCUGCAGAAGAAGCGCCGGCUAACUACGUGCCAGCAGCCGCGGUAAUACGUAGGGCGCAAGCGUUGUCCGGAAUUAUUGGGCGUAAAGAGCUCGUAGGCGGCUUGUCGCGUCGGUUGUGAAAGCCCGGGGCUUAACCCCGGGUCUGCAGUCGAUACGGGCAGGCUAGAGUUCGGUAGGGGAGAUCGGAAUUCCUGGUGUAGCGGUGAAAUGCGCAGAUAUCAGGAGGAACACCGGUGGCGAAGGCGGAUCUCUGGGCCGAUACUGACGCUGAGGAGCGAAAGCGUGGGGAGCGAACAGGAUUAGAUACCCUGGUAGUCCACGCCGUAAACGGUGGGCACUAGGUGUGGGCAACAUUCCACGUUGUCCGUGCCGCAGCUAACGCAUUAAGUGCCCCGCCUGGAGAGUACGGCCGCA
This 807-nucleotide ribosomal RNA is filed under the name Streptomyces naganishii. Its description in RNAcentral is "bacterial SSU rRNA". It matches the Rfam family "Bacterial small subunit ribosomal RNA", at positions 68 to 890 of the family's 1533-position model. The record is from RNAcentral. Lineage: Bacteria; Bacillati; Actinomycetota; Actinomycetes; Kitasatosporales; Streptomycetaceae.